AGAGUUUGAUCCUGGCUCAGAUUGAACGCUGGCGGAAUGCUUUACACAUGCAAGUCGAACGGUAGAGGGGGCAACCCCUUGAGAGUGGCGAACGGGUGAGUAAUAUAUCGGAACGUGCCCAGUCGUGGGGGAUAACGUAGCGAAAGUUACGCUAAUACCGCAUACGAUCUAAGGAUGAAAGCGGGGGAUCGCAAGACCUCGCGCGAUUGGAGCGGCCGAUAUCAGAUUAGGUAGUUGGUGGGGUAAAGGCUCACCAAGCCAACGAUCUGUAGCUGGUCUGAGAGGACGACCAGCCACACUGGAACUGAGACACGGUCCAGACUCCUACGGGAGGCAGCAGUGGGGAAUUUUGGACAAUGGACGCAAGUCUGAUCCAGCCAUUCCGCGUGCAGGAUGAAGGCCCUCGGGUUGUAAACUGCUUUUGUACGGAACGAAAAGGUUUGUCUUAAUACGAUGAGCUCAUGACGGUACCGUAAGAAUAAGCACCGGCUAACUACGUGCCAGCAGCCGCGGUAAUACGUAGGGUGCAAGCGUUAAUCGGAAUUACUGGGCGUAAAGCGUGCGCAGGCGGUUAUGUAAGACAGAGGUGAAAUCCCCGGGCUCAACCUGGGAACUGCCUUUGUGACUGCAUAGCUAGAGUACGGUAGAGGGGGAUGGAAUUCCGCGUGUAGCAGUGAAAUGCGUAGAUAUGCGGAGGAACACCGAUGGCGAAGGCAAUCCCCUGGACCUGUACUGACGCUCAUGCAC
This 747-nucleotide ribosomal RNA is filed under the name uncultured Limnohabitans sp. RNAcentral's name for it is "bacterial SSU rRNA". It matches the Rfam family "Bacterial small subunit ribosomal RNA", at positions 8 to 754 of the family's 1533-position model. Lineage: Bacteria; Pseudomonadati; Pseudomonadota; Betaproteobacteria; Burkholderiales; Comamonadaceae. The record is from RNAcentral.